AACGGCCGCGGUAUUUUGACCGUGCAAAGGUAGCGCAAUCAAUUGUCUUUUAAAUGAAGGCCCGUAUGAAUGGCAUAACGAGGGCUUAACUGUCUCCUUUUUCCAGUCAAUGAAAUUGAUCUUCCCGUGCAGAAGCGGGAAUAAAAACAUAAGACGAGAAGACCCUAUGGAGCUUAUAAACGCAAGAGCAGAUUACAUCAAUUAUUCUAAUUACAAGAUAUAAAGCCAAGUGACCACUGCUCUAAUGUUUUUGGUUGGGGCGACCAUGGGAUAAAAUCAAACUCCCACGCAGAAUAAAAAUACAAUUUUUUAAUUUAAGAGCAACAGCUCUAGAAAGCAGAAGUUCUGACUUAUAUGAUCCGGCUGAAGCCGAUUAACGAACCGAGUUACCCUAGGGAUAACAGCGCAAUCCUUUUUGAGAGUCCUUAUCGACAAAAGGGUUUACGACCUCGAUGUUGGACCAGGACAUCCUAAU
RNAcentral lists this ribosomal RNA (475 nucleotides) under Epiplatys duboisi. RNAcentral describes it as "partial 16S ribosomal RNA". It matches the Rfam family "Bacterial large subunit ribosomal RNA", at positions 1926 to 2551 of the family's 2925-position model. The record is from RNAcentral. Lineage: Eukaryota; Metazoa; Chordata; Actinopteri; Cyprinodontiformes; Nothobranchiidae.